Molecule: long non-coding RNA, 569 nt
Organism: Daphnia pulex (common water flea)
Lineage: Eukaryota; Metazoa; Arthropoda; Branchiopoda; Diplostraca; Daphniidae
Exons: 2
Source: RefSeq, a predicted model, not a curated record
AAUAUUUUACCGGUUGUUCCAACCACCGUUGCUGAAAGUGUGGCCAGUGUGGCCCACUCAUCUUUCUCAAAAAAAAAAGAUACCGAGCUGUCCAAGAAGCCUUUCGUGACCAAGAGUAAGCGCUCGAUAAAGACAAGAACCGAAGAAGAAUAUAAUAUUGGUUUAUGCGAUUUCCAACUGUGUUCUAAGGUAGUAAUUUUUAUUAAGCGGUUUACUUUUUAUAAAUGAAGUAACUUCUUAAACCUUUUUGAAAAUAGCCUAAUCAAGACUGGGUGGGGUGCGACAUCUGCGAUAGAUGGUUUCAUUUUAGAUGUGUGAAAAUAAAGAAGGGUGAAUACACUGAAGACCAACCCUAUCUUUGCUCUGUUUGUAUUAAGUAGGCUCAAGAAGACACCAACAUUUGCUCACUUUCUAUAUUAAUUUCCAUACGUAGAAUUUAGAGAUGUCGAUGGGAAUAAAGAAAAAAAAUCCCCGUUUGUUUUAUAAUUGUAAUGAUUGUGUUUGUGCAGCAUUGCAUUAUGGCUACUCCUUCUCUCAAUUUCCUAAGAAAAUAAAGAAUUCGGAAUAAA